AGAUUGAACGCUGGCGGCAGGCCUAACACAUGCAAGUCGAGCGGUAGAGAGGUGCUUGCACCUCUUGAGAGCGGCGGACGGGUGAGUAAUGCCUAGGAAUCUGCCUAGUGGUGGGGGAUAACGUUCGGAAACGGACGCUAAUACCGCAUACGUCCGUACGGGAGAAAGCGGGGGACCUUCGGGCCUCGCGCCAUUAGAUGAGCCUAGGUCGGAUUAGCUAGUUGGUGA
This 228-nucleotide ribosomal RNA is filed under the name uncultured soil bacterium. RNAcentral describes it as "partial 16S ribosomal RNA". It matches the Rfam family "Bacterial small subunit ribosomal RNA", at positions 26 to 255 of the family's 1533-position model. The record is from RNAcentral.